CCGAGGGAGACCAGGAAGAUCUGCAUGGUGGGAAGGACCUGAUGAUACAGAGGUCUGUAGGCCAUGGGAAUGGGUUUGGAAUUUUAUUCAAAGAGCUAUGGGAAGUGACUAGAAGGUUUAAAGUUGGGGAAGAGGUUUUGUGUUUCUGUUAUAUUUGUGUUUUAUACAAAUUACUCUGGUUGCUGUGUUGAUAGGACAGCAGAAGGGUAGGAGCAGGGACACCAGUUAAGUUAUUGCAAUGGUUAAGGUGAGAGGUGGUGGCUGGGCCUAGGCCUUUUUGGAGUGAACAAGCUAUUUGCUUGGCUUCCAUGAUCCUUCUCCCUCCACUUUCACAGAUCCCUGGGAGAAAUGCCCGGCCGCCAUCUUGGGUCAUCGAU
RNAcentral lists this unclassified non-coding RNA (377 nucleotides) under Homo sapiens (human). Its description in RNAcentral is "non-coding RNA DD3PCA3 splice variant 1". Lineage: Eukaryota; Metazoa; Chordata; Mammalia; Primates; Hominidae. The record is from RNAcentral.